This 253-nucleotide ribosomal RNA is filed under the name uncultured bacterium. Its description in RNAcentral is "partial 16S ribosomal RNA". It matches the Rfam family "Bacterial small subunit ribosomal RNA", at positions 524 to 776 of the family's 1533-position model. The record is from RNAcentral.
UACGGAGGGGGCAAGCGUUAUUCGGAAUUAUUGGGCGUAAAGGGCGCGUAGGCGGCUAGAUGUGUCAAAGGUGAAAUCCCUCGGCUCAACUGAGGAACUGCCUUUGAAACUGUCUGGCUUGAGGCCGGGAGAGGGUAGCGGAAUUCCCAGUGUAGCGGUGAAAUGCGUAGAGAUCAUGAGGAAGACCAGUGGCGAAGGCGGGUCUCUGGACAGUUCCUGACACUGAGGCACGAAGGCCAGGGGAGCAAACGGG